Long non-coding RNA from Parus major (Great Tit), 2532 nucleotides. The record is from Ensembl. Lineage: Eukaryota; Metazoa; Chordata; Aves; Passeriformes; Paridae.
GCGCCACAUUGCUCGCAGCUGCCGCUGGAACCCGCAGCUCCAUCUGAAUGCGCUGCAACAAUGAACGGAUCAAAGCUGCCCAAUAUCGCUGUCUGCUCCCGACCAAAGCUGCCCAAUAUCGCUGUCUGCUCCCGACCAAAGCUGCCCAGCAUCCCUGUCUGCUCCUGGCGGCCGGCGAGGAGCGAGGGCUCCCGGAAACCUCCGCUUGCUUCGGGCUUUUUCCCCCCUGUGCAAAAAACCACAGACAAACAAACUGGGGGGAAGCAAAGGAGACUCCAGUGGGUGUUGCGGCAGCACAGCCGAGGGCUCAGGAGUCAGGAAAUUCCAGUCCCGGCAGCCUGCUGGUUGGAGUACAUGGAGGCCAGGGGUGAGCAGGAGGGGACGGGACAUUCUGCCGGCUGGGAAAUCAUCCUGAGCUGGGCUGGGAUCUCGGUGACCUGCGCUCCCUCCUCUGCUCUGCCACGUCCUCCUCGCACAGCCCUGAGCACAUCACUGCGGGUUCUUCUGGCAGGAAUCAUCGCUCUCCAUCAGGUGUGCCCACCCAUCAGGAGCUUCCCUGGAAAACCCAGGGCCCCCAAGCCCUUCCUCUGUUGGAUACUGGUAAAUAAAGCAAGCAGGGAUGAGAUCCCAGCACCAGAGGCACAGCACAGCAGCUGGACCAGCACCAGGAUGGGGAUGGGAAUGAGGUGUCUGGUCUUUGCCCAGACUGUGCCAGCCUACAUCUUGGCUCAUGCAGAGCCUCCAGCCAUCCAUUCUCCCCCAAAAAAUCUUUAUUCAGCUCCCCUGGAACCCAAACAUCUGCCAUCAUGCUCAGCGAUUUGAGUCAAACAAGCCACCUUCAGAAAACAAAACCAGACCCAACUGAUGUUAGCAAAAAGGAGUAAAAGCAUGGGAGGGGAAAUGAAAGCUGAGAGAAAGUGGGAGGAAGAAAAAUGCAAGGAGCAAAUAGCUGGAGAAUGAUCCGAUAACGACCACAGAGCAGCAGCCCCUUACUUGCCAGCAGCAAAAGAAAAACCCAAACAGAAAGCAGGUAAAAUCUGCAGAAAAUAUGAAAACAAGAUUGGUGGCAAGUAACCAGGGGCACAGGCUGGUUGUGCAGGCAGGUGCUUCUGAGCUGGGAAUCACUGAAAAUUCAUUUUGGUGUGGCUGUAGGAAAAGGCGAAUGUUUUGGAGCAAGUGAUGAGGGUCACACCUUAGGGGAUGUGUGUAGGGGGGUACAUCCUGGAAAUCAGUGACUCAGAACCAACUGGAACAGUCCUGGUAGACAAUUGCUGGUGUUUGAACUCCCAGCAAUGCCUUAGCCAAGAAGGUUGGAGUAAUCCUUGGCUGCGCAGACGGCAAGUAUGAAGUGGGAGUGCUGAACUGAUAUUAUCUCUGUAAACAGCAUUAGUGAGACCAUUUCUGAAAAGUUAUGUCUGGUCCUGAUGUUCACAUAUCCAAAAAAAGAUCUUAAGGAAGCAGCAAAGAUUCCUGCCAGAGCGAUUUCAGGCAUUGGAAGCCUACUUUAGAGAGAGAAAAACGUAUCCAAGGGGAAAAUGAAGUGACUUUACUGCAGGUUAUCAACAUCUGCGCAGGUAUAAGCCCUGCAAACAGCAUCAAGGAAAGUUGCAAUGAAAUGAUGUCUGGGAAAUUCAGAUUAAAUCCAAGUGAGAGAUCUGAAUCAGCUGUGCAGAGGUCAGGUUUCCCCCAGGAAAUCCAGAUGACCUCCUAACAUCCAACAUAGCUGAAGGUUGGCAGGUUUUUCACGCCAACUGCUCUCUCAUCAAGGUGGCCUUUGGCUUGGUAAUUGGCUGACCCCAACUUUGGAGGAGUGGAAUGGCUGGGUUUUGGUGCAAAAGCUUGAGGUUAUGCCACUAUGGCCCAGAGAUGUGGGUGGACCUUCUGUUACCGCUAUAGGUCAUGGUUUUGGGGAGGUUUGGGGUUCUGGGUGAAUCACAGCACACAAAGUCACUUUGUGACUGGCUGGCACAGGGAGAUUUUUCUUACAUUACUCAGCCAGAAAGGUAGCAACAAAGGUAAUGGGGCACGAGAGCGCUUCUUUUGCUGACUGCUGAACACCAUGGAGGAAAACAGAUGGAUCAAGAGUUGUUGACGUUGAUGGGGAUCUUUCCAAGUGCCUUCAGUGGGCAUUUGGGUGAGGUACAUAUGCUCUUGGAUAUCAGUGGGCUGAUCUCCACAGCAAAUGAAAUGGCCCCUGGAUGUCACUGCUGUGCUACAGUAGAGCAGCAGAGGAGCCUCAUUCUAUGGGAUGUAAAGAAGAUGGAGUUAAGGCCCGGAGACGAGGCCUGGAUAAGUGGAAGUGUUGGCUCAGGCCCUUGGUCUGCCUCCAGCACAGAUUGCAAAUGACUGCGAGUUAUCAUCUGACAGAUGCUCUGUCGUGGCUCCCGUCCAUUUCCUACUGCACAAGUCUAUACAUCACAGGCCUGCGUGGUCAAACCAGCCUUGGCUGCUGCUUUCUCUCCAGUUUCUCCUCUUUACUUCUUCAAACCCCUCCCUUCUCCAGGGAAAAAUAAACCAACCAAAGACCCAACA